CCUACGGGUGGCAGCAGUGAGGAAUAUUGGUCAAUGGGCGAGAGCCUGAACCAGCCAAGUCGCGUGAGGGAAGACGGUCCUAUGGAUUGUAAACCUCUUUUGUCGGGGAGCAAAAAGGCCUCGUGAGGCCACAAGUGAGAGUACCCGAAGAAAAAGCAUCGGCUAACUCCGUGCCAGCAGCCGCGGUAAUACGGAGGAUGCGAGCGUUAUCCGGAUUGAUUGGGUUUAAAGGGUGCGUAGGCGGACUGGAAAGUCAGCGGUAAAAUCGAGAGGCUCAACCUCUUUCCGCCGUUGAAACUGUCGGUCGUGAGUGGGCGAGAGGUAGGCGGAAUGCGUGGUGUAGCGGUGAAAUGCAUAGAUAUCACGAAGAACUCCGAUUGCGAAGGCAGCAUACGGGCGCCCGACUGACGCUGAGGCACGAAAGCGUGGGUAGCGAACAGGAUUAGAUACCCGUGUAGUC
RNAcentral lists this ribosomal RNA (460 nucleotides) under uncultured bacterium. RNAcentral's name for it is "partial 16S ribosomal RNA". It matches the Rfam family "Bacterial small subunit ribosomal RNA", at positions 338 to 795 of the family's 1533-position model. The record is from RNAcentral.